CCCAGUUUGGCAUCCCAUUCGAAUUUGAUUUAGAGCUUUCGGGUCCAAUCGGUAGAAUAUGCAACCCCCUCCUAGUUAGCUCUCUCUAUAUGAGGAGUCAUUUCAGACUGGUCUUAGACUCCCCCUUCCUAUAUUUGUUGUUGAGCUUUUUCUCUCUUUUGGCAUGGACUUGGGUUCAAUGGUCCUGAAUUUAUGGUAUUUCCUUAUCGACUUUUUGGUAGUCUAUUUUCUGGCAG
RNAcentral lists this long non-coding RNA (236 nucleotides) under Elaeis guineensis (African oil palm). RNAcentral's name for it is "long non-coding RNA (EGUI_LNC013281)". Lineage: Eukaryota; Viridiplantae; Streptophyta; Magnoliopsida; Arecales; Arecaceae. The record is from RNAcentral.